UACGUAGGGGGCUAGCGUUGUCCGGAUUUAUUGGGCGUAAAGAGCGUGUAGGCGGCCAGGUAGGUCUGCUGUGAAAACUCGAGGCUCAACCUCGAGACGUCGGCGGAAACCAUCUGGCUAGAGUCCGGAAGAGGAGAGUGGAAUUCCUGGUGUAGCGGUGAAAUGCGCAGAUAUCAGGAAGAACACCCGUGGCUAAGGCGGCUCUCUAGUACGGUACUGACGCUGAGACGCGAAAGCGUGGGGAGCGAACAGGAUUAGAUACC
Molecule: ribosomal RNA, 263 nt
Filed under: uncultured bacterium
Lineage: Bacteria
Description: partial 16S ribosomal RNA
Rfam family: Bacterial small subunit ribosomal RNA
Source: RNAcentral